GACGAACGCUGGCGGCGUGCUUAACACAUGCAAGUCGAACGGAAAGGCCCUGCUUUUGUGGGGUGCUCGAGUGGCGAACGGGUGAGUAACACGUGAGUAACCUGCCCUUGACUUUGGGAUAACUUCAGGAAACUGGGGCUAAUACCGGAUAGGAGCUCCUGCUGCAUGGUGGGGGUUGGAAAGUUUCGGCGGUUGGGGAUGGACUCGCGGCUGAUCAGCUAGUUGGUGGGGUAAUGGCUUACCUAGGCGUUGACGGCUAGCCGGCCUGAGAGGGUGACCGGCCACACUGGAACUGAGACACGGUGCAGACUCCUACGGGAGGCAGCAGUGGGGAACAUUGCACAAUGGGCGCAAGCCUGAUGCAGCCAUGCCGCGUGUAUGAAGAAGGCCUUCGGGUGGUAAAGUACUUUCAGCGGGGAGGAAGGGAGUAAAGUUAAUACCUUUGCUCAUUGACGUGACCCGCAGAAGAAGCACCGGCUAACUCCGUG
RNAcentral lists this ribosomal RNA (488 nucleotides) under uncultured bacterium. RNAcentral describes it as "partial 16S ribosomal RNA". It matches the Rfam family "Bacterial small subunit ribosomal RNA", at positions 28 to 507 of the family's 1533-position model. The record is from RNAcentral.